Molecule: ribosomal RNA, 406 nt
Filed under: uncultured bacterium
Lineage: Bacteria
Description: bacterial SSU rRNA
Rfam family: Bacterial small subunit ribosomal RNA
Source: RNAcentral
UGGUCUUGACAUCCAGGGAAUCUCCAGGAAACUGGAGAGUGCCUCUUGAGGAACCCGGUGACAGGUGCUGCAUGGCUGUCGUCAGCUCGUGUCGUGAGAUGUUGGGUUAAGUCCCGCAACGAGCGCAACCCUUGUCUUUAGUUGCCAUCAUUAAGUUGGGCACUCUAAAGAGACUGCCGGUGUCAAACCGGAGGAAGGUGGGGAUGACGUCAAGUCCUCAUGGCCUUUAUGACCAGGGCUACACACGUACUACAAUGGCAUAGACAAAGGGCAGCGACAUCGCGAGGUGAAGCGAAUCCCAUAAACUAUGUCCCAGUCCGGAUUGGAGUCUGCAACUCGACUCCAUGAAGUUGGAAUCGCUAGUAAUCGUAGAUCAGCAUGCUACGGUGAAUACGUUCCCGGGCCU